This 253-nucleotide ribosomal RNA is filed under the name uncultured bacterium. RNAcentral describes it as "partial 16S ribosomal RNA". It matches the Rfam family "Bacterial small subunit ribosomal RNA", at positions 524 to 776 of the family's 1533-position model. The record is from RNAcentral.
UACGUAGGGUGCAAGCGUUAAUCGGAAUUACUGGGCGUAAAGCGUGCGCAGGCGGUUGUGUAAGUCAGAUGUGAAAUCCCCGGGCUCAACCUGGGAACUGCAUUUGUGACUGCACGGCUCGAGUGCGGCAGAGGGGGAUGGAAUUCCGCGUGUAGCAGUGAAAUGCGUAGAUAUGCGGAGGAACACCGAUGGCGAAGGCAAUCCCCUGGGCCUGCACUGACGCUCAUGCACGAAAGCGUGGGGAGCAAACAGG